Molecule: ribosomal RNA, 274 nt
Filed under: uncultured bacterium
Lineage: Bacteria
Description: partial 16S ribosomal RNA
Rfam family: Bacterial small subunit ribosomal RNA
Source: RNAcentral
AUACGGAGGGUGCAAGCGUUACUCGGAAUCACUGGGCGUAAAGCGCGCGCAGGCGGCUAUUUAAGUUGGAUGUGAAAGCCUACGGCUCAACCGUAGAACUGCAUCCAAAACUAUUUAGCUAGAGUGUGGGAGAGGAAGAUGGAAUUAGUUGUGUAGGGGUAAAAUCCGUAGAGAUAACUAGGAAUACCAAAAGCGAAGGCAAUCUUCUGGAACACAACUGACGCUGAGGCGCGAAAGCGUGGGGAGCAAACAGGAUUAGAAACCCUAGUAGUCC